AGCCAUGCUGGUUAAGUGUGCCUUGAAUUUUAAAUAAAUCACGACAGUGUCACCAGCAAAGCACCCCCCACACCAUCACACCUCCUCCUCCAUGCUUCAUGAUGAGAACCACACAUCCGGAGAUCAUCUGUUCACCUACUCUACGUCUCACAAAUACACGGCAAUUGCAACCAAAAAUCUCAAAUUUGGACUCAUAAGACAAAAGGACAGAUUUCCACCAGUCUAAUUGUCACAUCUGCUCCUGCUACGCCCUCUGGUGUUCACCCGGUGUCUUCUUGACCUGCAGUUACUUCCCCUGUACACUCUCACUCUCUUCCUCUCUGUGUGGUUGUGUGGUUGGAGACAGGUGUGCUGGAGUCAGAGCAGAUCCCUAUCAGCUGCAACUCGUUCCAUAAUCAAGACCUCUACAAAUACUCAGUCCUGCCACUUCCACUCUGCCAGAUCGUAAUCUCUGCUCAUACCGCUCUGUCUCUGGCUCCUGUCUCCUGUUCCACAUCUCACCACCCAACUACCUUGCUCUGGAUUUUACUCACCACUACCUUGGAUUCCCCUCAGGACCUGUUUACCCUGUUCUACUCAGCUAACUCCAACCUCAGUCUCCACAUCUGUUUUUUCUGCAAAUCAUCUAAACUUCCCCGGAUCUGCACUCCAUAUCUCCCUGUGUAACAAUAAAUAUUUUGGUUAAUUCA
Non-coding RNA from Salmo salar (Atlantic salmon), 689 nucleotides. NCBI's taxonomy places the organism in Eukaryota, Metazoa, Chordata, Actinopteri, Salmoniformes, Salmonidae. The record is from RefSeq and is a predicted model, not a curated record.